This 478-nucleotide ribosomal RNA is filed under the name uncultured bacterium. RNAcentral describes it as "bacterial SSU rRNA". It matches the Rfam family "Bacterial small subunit ribosomal RNA", at positions 355 to 847 of the family's 1533-position model. The record is from RNAcentral.
UGGGGAAUCUUGCACAAUGGGCGAAAGCCUGAUGCAGCAACGCCGCGUGCGGGAAGACAGCCCUAGGGUUGUAAACCGCUUUCAGCAGGGAAGAAACUGACGGUACCUGCAGAAGAAGAUGCGGCCAACUACGUGCCAGCAGCCGCGGUGACACGUAGGCAUCAAGCGUUAUCCGGAUUUAUUGGGCGUAAAGAGCUCGUAGGCGGUUCGGUAAGUCGGGUGUGAAACUCUGGGCUCAACCCAGAGAGGCCACUCGAUACUGCUGUGACUAGAGUGCGGUAGGGGAGCGGGGAAUUCCUGGUGUAGCGGUGAAAUGCGCAGAUAUCAGGAGGAACACCAGUGGCGAAGGCGCCGCUCUGGGCCGUAACUGACGCUGAGGAGCGAAAGCAUGGGUAGCAAACAGGAUUAGAUACCCUGGUAGUCCAUGCCGUAAACGUUGGGCACUAGGUGUGGGUCUCAACCGAACGAGAUCCGCGCC